Molecule: ribosomal RNA, 253 nt
Filed under: uncultured bacterium
Lineage: Bacteria
Description: partial 16S ribosomal RNA
Rfam family: Bacterial small subunit ribosomal RNA
Source: RNAcentral
UACGUAGGGGGCUAGCGUUGUCCGGAUUUAUUGGGCGUAAAGAGCGUGUAGGCGGCCAGGUAGGUCCGCUGUGAAAACUCGAGGCUCAACCUCGAGACGUCGGCGGAAACCAUCUGGCUAGAGUCCGGAAGAGGAGAGUGGAAUUCCUGGUGUAGCGGUGAAAUGCGCAGAUAUCAGGAAGAACACCCGUGGCGAAGGCGGCUCUCUGGGACGGUACUGACGCUGAGACGCGAAAGCGUGGGGAGCGAACAGG